Long non-coding RNA from Zingiber officinale, 985 nucleotides. RefSeq lists it as uncharacterized. The transcript has 4 exons. Lineage: Eukaryota; Viridiplantae; Streptophyta; Magnoliopsida; Zingiberales; Zingiberaceae. The record is from RefSeq and is a predicted model, not a curated record.
UCGUGUUGUUUUACUUUUUCUUUACCAGACCUGCGAACCACCAAUUUUGCCACCACUGUGAGCAAUAAUUAAUGAAAGAAUUUCUGAUCGAGGAUGGAGUAAUUUCUCUCAGAGUCAAUUUGAGGAUGUGUGUUCUACAAAUAUACAGAGGUUCAGAUCUAGCAGAAUUAUAAACCAAAGCUCUCUUGCUCAACUUUUGCUGUCCUUUUUUGACAAGUUUGCAGAUAUUAGAACUUUUGGUUCGGAUUAUAGCAUCUCUACAUAUGAUGGACAACAAAUCAGCCGUCAUUUUUAUAGCUCGCCCCUGAUUAUAGAGGAUCCUUUCGAGUGAAUGGAAAAUGCUGCUAGAACAAUCCGCUGGGUUGAACUACCUAAGAUAUCAAAUGCAUUUCAAAAUGCGCACAAUAAGCUUUCAUCUGGUUCGGUGCUCUCUGAUCAUGACUCCUUGCUCCCUCUUUUGACUAAGCCUUUCCUUGCUUCUAAGUUUCACGAGCUGCAAUCGUCAGCGAAUUACAAUAGGAGGAGCCAAUAUCUUGACAUUGGUGCCAUUGAGCAACAGUUUGAGAAUGCAGUAAGGCUGGAUAGGGUUUGAUCUCCGCCCUCGACUUCUGUUGUCUGUUUCGGAUUCACAUAUCGUGACCUUUUCCAUUAACCGUAACGGUUUGGUUAGCGUUGUUGCAUUUGGUGUUAAGUUACUUGCAUAUCAAGGUUGUAGAAAUUGUGAGAUUUAGCGAACAUAUUAAGAAUUAUGGCAUAGUUUGGGUGCUUCCGAGCCAGCCUAAUUUCGGUGAUUACGGAUCUGGCACGUUGUAGCUCAAUAAAAGUAAGCCAAGGCUGAGCUUAAUCAGGCUGAAUUGAGGUUUAGCGAGUUCAGUCUGUGCAUGACUUGAGUGUCUCCACAUGUCAACUGUUAAUGAACCAAAUGGAGAGGUUUGGUCUAAGUUAGCUUUCUAAUCUUAUGAAUUAUUUUUUUUUAUUUUUUCUC